Molecule: RNA transcript, 1658 nt
Organism: Drosophila mojavensis
Lineage: Eukaryota; Metazoa; Arthropoda; Insecta; Diptera; Drosophilidae
Exons: 4
Source: RefSeq, a predicted model, not a curated record
CAGCGGCUGUUUGGUGCGUGAUGUUCAUAAGGCGCAAUCCAAUUUUAUUGUACUAAUUUUUUUCCUAAUACGUAUAUUUGGCAAAUAAUGUAAAUAAAUUAAUUUGAUUAAAUUAAUUCGAUAUACCAAAGUGAUAAUUUGUGUAAUGUUUUCUCACAAAUAUUCUAAAAUAAUACAUUAAAAAAAUUGAAUUUCGUUUUCUUUGAUUGAUGUCCUAUGAAAAUUUGGGGAUUGUUAAGACAUAGUUAAUAAAUGAUUAUUGAGGACAUUUUUUACAUACUUCAUAAAAAAUGAAUUUUCUUUAUUUAUAUAUUCUUUAGCAGUCAUAAAGAAAUAAUCGUGCACAUGUUCCUGCACACUGGGUUAUCGCACGUAUCUCGGGUGACGUGAUGGUUACACAUUCUCCGGCGACUACAGCCUGUCACCUGUUCAGUCCGUGUCUGUGCGUUAAUCAAACACAGCGCAAUCCAUUUGUAAGCAGCUACAGUCGCUCCUUACUCACACACACACACAGACACACACACACACACACACACACACAUGACAGCGCAUCACGAGCGCCAGCAGCCCGAACGUGACAUAUGGCGAUGAACUUUUAUGCCAGUAAGAUAUCAGACGCAGCCCACGGCACGCGUUGCCAGCAAUCCGUGCUGCAAAAGUCGCGCGGUCAACGGGAUCGUGGCAGACACACACAUACAUAUGCAUAUCGGCAGCAUAUGCCUUGCCAUCUGUGCAAUUUAGACAGCACUGAGGCCGGAGCUAAAGAGCCAGCUCAAACUGCUGACUUAAACAUUCUCACGCCCAGCGACGACAGUCUGGAGCAGGCCAUUAGGCAAGGAAAUGAAUUAGGUCGAAGAGUGGAGCAGCUGAAUGAACACGAUUUGAAAUCAGAGCUACAGCAGCUACCAUUUGGGUCGAAGGUCACACGUCCACAAAUCCCCAUCGGCCGCCUGGGGCAAGGUAACAAACAAAUAAGACACACAAAUUGAUAGGAUUAGACGGCAAGAAGCGGCCCGUAGUCAAGCACAAGUCUGAUGAGUGGAAGGAACACAAGUCCUAAGGCUAAUGGUAGAUAGCUUAUGAGGCUAGACAGCCAAAACUAAUGGAGUCCCUAUUUGGACAAAUGACUAGCCAUUCGGCUAUCUUCUUACUGUUGAUGAUGUCUUCAAGUUUUGCUUGAUUUGCAGAAAUUUCUGUACUCAUUUGUAUUGUGGUCACGCUUAUUGCUGUUACCACAUAUUAUUGGAGUGUGUAAUUGAGAGCAAGAGUUAAAAACAAAUAUUAGCUGCGCUAUUAAAAGAUUAUCGUGUGCUGGAGAAUUGAGCAGCACAGCAAGACAGCGAAGCUGCGCCGAGGCGUGUGUUGGCAUUAUCUGCUGCCUUGUUGACAACAGCAAUUGGUCAGUAACAGGGCAAUAUUGAAGAAGUUGCUAGAGGCGCCAACCAGAGAUGUAGUGAAAGUCUAAAUAAGUUUACUAGAUUUUAAAUUCCUUAUAGGUAGAGUAAGCAAAGAAGUUCCUUACGUCAGUCGUGAGUUUUGACUACGUUAAUAAGCAAGUCUAGUUUUAAUCUUAAUAUAUACCCUUAAAAAAUAUUCAAUACUCCAGUACAAAUCUAUGCACAGCAAAAGCAAUCGAGAAAAUAUUUCAUAAAUACAAU